ACGGCCGCAAGGUUGAAACUCAAAUGAAUUGACGGGGGCCCGCACAAGCGGUGGAGCAUGUGGUUUAAUUCGAUGCAACGCGAAGAACCUUACCUACCCUUGACAUCCUGCGAACCCUGAUGAGAGUUGGGGGUGCCGAAAGGAGCGCAGAGACAGGUGCUGCAUGGCUGUCGUCAGCUCGUGUUGUGAGAUGUUGGGUUAAGUCCCGUAACGAGCGCAACCCUUGUCCUUAGUUGCCAGCAUUUAGUUGGGGACUCUAAGGAGACUGCCGGUGAGGAACCGGAGGAAGGCGGGGACGACGUCAAGUCAUCAUGGCCUUUAUGGGUAGGGCUACACACGUGCUACAAUGGGGCGUACAGAGGGUCGCGAACCCGCGAGGGGGAGCCAAUCCCGAAAAGCGUCUCGUAGUCCGGAUUGGAGUCUGCAACUCGACUCCAUGAAGUUGGAAUCGCUAGUAAUCGCGAAUCAGCAUUGUCGCGGUGAAUACGUUCCCGGGCCUUGUACACACCGCCCGUCACGUCAUGGGAGUGGAUGGUACCAGAAGCGCGUAGUCUAACCGCAAGGGAGACGCCUGCCACGGUAUGAUUCAUGACUGGGACG
This 600-nucleotide ribosomal RNA is filed under the name uncultured bacterium. Its description in RNAcentral is "bacterial SSU rRNA". It matches the Rfam family "Bacterial small subunit ribosomal RNA", at positions 882 to 1482 of the family's 1533-position model. The record is from RNAcentral.